GACGAACGCUGGCGGCGUGCUUAACACAUGCAAGUCGAACGGAAAGGCCUGCUUUCCCUUGUGGAUUGCGGGUACUCGAGUGGCGAAUGGGUGAGUAACACGUGAGUGAUCUGCCCCCAACUUGGGUAUAAGCCUGGGAAACUGGGUCUAAUUCCCGAUAGGACUGCAGGGUGGUGCCUGUGGUGGAAAACGAUUUUCUAGUGGUUGGGGAUGAGCUCGCGGCCUAUCAGCUUGUUGGUGGGGUAAUGGCCUACCAAGGCGGCGACGGGUAGCCGGCCUGAGAGGGUGGACGGCCACAUUGGGACUGAGAUACGGCCCAGACUCCUACGGGAGGCAGCAGUGGGGAAUAUUACACAAUGGGCGGAAGCCUGAUGCAGCGACGCCGCGUGGGGGAUGACGGCCUUCGGGUUGUAAACUCCUUUCGACCGCGAGGAAGCCACCUGGUUGGAAGGGUGGUGACGGUAGUGGUAGAAGAAGCACCGGCUAACUACGUG
This 494-nucleotide ribosomal RNA is filed under the name uncultured bacterium. Its description in RNAcentral is "partial 16S ribosomal RNA". It matches the Rfam family "Bacterial small subunit ribosomal RNA", at positions 28 to 507 of the family's 1533-position model. The record is from RNAcentral.